Eriocheir sinensis (Chinese mitten crab) is the source of this 4335-nucleotide long non-coding RNA. RefSeq lists it as uncharacterized. The record is from RefSeq and is a predicted model, not a curated record. NCBI's taxonomy places the organism in Eukaryota, Metazoa, Arthropoda, Malacostraca, Decapoda, Varunidae. The transcript is spliced from 2 exons.
UACACAUUUAUUGAAUUAUUUAUCUCAUUACACUUGACUUAAUUUUUCCUUUUCACUUCCUCUUGCAUUAUUAUCAUUUUUUUUUUUUAUCAUUUAGUCACCGUUUUUUCCUCACCUGUAUUUUUUUUUCUUCUCCGGUACCUGUUUUUUUUAUACACUUAUUGCUCGUCGUCUGUCACGGUGCAGCGGCAGAAGGUAGAAAUCGUAGUAACAUAGUUUUGGGUUUUUUUGAUUCUCCACACAGCGAUACAUGAACGAGUGGAAUGAACGAUGUGUCACCUGCAUACCUGGGAAAUAAAAAGUGAAAGCGUAGCGGCAGUCCAAACACACACGUAAUUAGUUUCAAAAUCGGACGUUCAUUCCACUACCAAAAAAAAAGUGUCAGUCAGUCAUUCUAUUUGAGAGCCAUUGUGUCAUUUCAUACAUUAACAUUUUUUUUCGUGUAAACGGUGCAGUCAUUCCACCUCAGUCAUUCUUACUUAUACGUUUAUUCCAUAAAAAGGGACAUUUAAACAUUCAAAAGCGAUUAUUUCUCUGGAUGUAAACACAAUACUACUAACUUUUUCACUCACUCUUGAUAUAUAAACCCAAUAAUUACUUUCUCAUUCACUCCUUACACUUAAAACAAUUCCAACCUCAGUCAUUCUACUCAUUCUUCUAAUACAUUCAUUCCACAACAGAAGGACAUUCCGACAUUCAAAAGCGACUACCUCUUGAUAAAUAAACAGUAACAACAUUGAUGAUUUCCUCACACACUCCUUAUGAUUAAAAGAAUUCCAACCUCAGUCAUUCUACUCAUUCUGCUAAUACAUUCAUUCCAUAACAGAAGGAUAUUCAAAUAUACAAAAGCGACUACUUCUCUUGAUACAUAAACUCAAUAAUAAUAACAUCCUCACUUAUUCCUUAUACUUCAAACCAUUCCAACCUCAGUCAUUCUACUCAUUCUGCUAAUACAUUCAUUCCAUAACAGGAGGACAUUCAAAUAUACAAGAGCGACUAUUUCUCUUGAUACAUAAACACAAUAAUAAUAACAUCCUCACUAAUUCCUCAUACUUCCAAUCAUUCCACCACACUCAUUCCUAUAUACCAGAACGCUACUACAGCCAACCAGCCAGCCAGCCAGCCAGACAUUCCAGUACCAGUCAUGCUAGUGCCAACGCUCGGUCAUUCCAGCGUUUCAGUAAAGUGACCUCGGAACGGGCAGUCAUUUCCACACCAACACACAUUCCCCAAAGCAAAUAUUCAUCUGUCUUCAAUAUGGAAAAAGGAAACGAUGGAGUGUGUAUGGAUGAACAAAUGGAGAACCAGCGAAGUGUAAAAUGAGAGAGAGAGAGAGAGAGAGAGAGAGAGAGAAAAUAAUCAACAAGCAACAGCCGCCUUGGGUAAUAUAUCAGUCCGGUAACGCGCAGAAACUGACCUUUUGCUGCUGCAUGAGAGAAAGAAAAUGGAGGGAGAGAAGUGGAUGAAGGCGAGAGAAAGGAAGAGGAGGAGGAGGAGGAGGAGGAGGAGGAGGAGGAAGACGAAUACACACAUAAGGAAGAUCUAUGACUGACUGACUCUCGCUGUUGUAGACACACACACACACACACACACACACAUUGAAAAUAACCACCCAAAAAUGUUUCAAAGUAUUUUUCUCGCGCUUUGAAAUGCCUCUCAUUGGCCCAUCAUUUUUUUCUUCUCAACUUUACUCUUUCCACUUCACCGCCUUUCAUUGCGCUGGCCUGACCUUUAACUUAUCAGGGAAUUGCCUCAUUACACUUCUAAGUACACUAAAGCAUGGACAUUUUUCUGGUAAUCUGUCUUAAUUUAUCUCCUCAUUUUCUUUGACCUUUUUUUUUUCAUCUCCUCUGCCUCCUCCUUCUCUUUAACUCAACUUCUUCUUUUUUCUUCCUCCUCCUUCUCCUUCUUUAACUCCACUUCACUCUUUAAUUCCUCCUCCUUCUCCUCCUCUUUCUUUCCCUUCAACUCUUUAUUCACCUCUUUUCAUGGAAGUUCUUCAUUAGACAUCUUAAUCACUCUUACCAAUGUUUUUUCUUCUGCACUCGUCAUUGUAGUUUCCUUUAUCAGACUUCUAUAUCACUCUUACCAAUGAUUUUUCUUCUGCACACGUCUUAGUACCUUUCCUUCAUCAAAUAUCUACAUCAUCCUUACCAAUGAUUUUUCUGCUACACUUGUAUUUUUCCUUCACUAGACUUCAGCAUCAAUCUUUCCAGUUAUUUUUCUUCUGCACUUCCCUUGGUGGUUUUCCUUCAUGAGACUUCCACAUUACCAUAACCAAUGAUUUUUCUUCUGCGUUUGUCUUGUUACUUUCCCUUCAGUUAACCUCUACAUCAUCCUUACCAAUGUAUUUAUUUUUGCACUUCUGGUACUUUCCCUUCAUUACACCUCUACCUCACCCCGACCAAUGAUUUCCACCCUUCCUUCACCUCCUGGAGCGGUGAAUAACAUGUGUUUAGUGCCCCUACACGCACUCCUCACCCCUGACAGUCACGGAGUGGGUUUAAGGGAACAUAGCACCUUGAUAACAGUGUAAGAGACCGUAAUAUAUUCACCCUUUGAUUUCACCCCCUCUCACUAUGAUUAAAUUCCGUGUCCUUCGCUGCUACUUCUACCUCGCUCAGUGCCCGUGCCUCCACCACCACCAGUAACUACCACCAGUACCUCCACCAUCACCAUCAUUACUACCACCAGUACCACCACCAUCACCAUCAACUACCACCACCAAUACGUGUUCAUUUUUCACGCCUUUUCCUUCCCCCCUUUUUUUUUCUCUCCGUCUCCUCCUCCCCCUCUUCCUCCUCCUCCUCCUCCUCCUCCGCUCUUAUUUUACUGUCAGUAACAUUAUAUUUACCCGUAUCUUUAUGGUGUGUGCGCGUGUCGUGUGGGUUCAGGUCUGUGUGUGUGUGUGUGUGUGUGUGUGUGUGUGUGUGUGUGUGUGUGUGCGUGGGCGUGGAUCUUAAUUUACGCAAUAUUUUUCUAUCUUUUAUCUUAGUAUAUCCAGUUUACUCGGUUGUUCAUUUAUUCAGAGAAGUAAAAACAGGUCCAAUUUUAAUACCUGGCCGAGUUGCUGUGGCGCUGGACGUCAUAUUUUCAUUUCCCGGGUUAUUUUACUGCUAUAAUCUUCCGGACGCCGCUUUUUUCCCGCCCAGCUUGUUAUCUUUUAGUUUCAUCUCUAUUUAUUUUUCCGUUCCUCCCCUUUAUCCACUCCGCCCGCCAACCACCGGCCGCCAUAACCGCACACAUUUUAUAACCGCCGAGCACUUUUAGCGGCCUCCCAUCUCUAUAAUCUUUCAAUGUAUAGUGGCUCGCAGGUAUUUUCCACUUUCAUAAGCUCCCCCCCUCCCCCCUUCCCCCACCUCGUACCCACCUGGUUUACAGAUAACAUGAAAAUACUAAAGAAUGAAAAAAAAAAUAGCAACAUCAGAGACCAUCCAGUAUAAACAUGAAUUUUCUGUAACGAAUUUGCUUUAGAAAGAAUGACGUUUACAUAUAUAUAUCCGCCUUGAAUGUACAGCGCCGUGAAUAGAAAGAUAAAUUAAUAGAAUGUAUUAAUUUAUGAGUAAUGCUUGCUUGCCUGCUACACUUAGGAGGAGGAGCAGGAGGAGGCGGCGGAGGAGGAGGAGGAGGAGGAAAAGGAGGAGGAGGAAGGAUAGGAGAAUGGCUGGAGUACGAAGAAGAUGAGAAGGACAAGAACGAAAUCGUGGAGGACAAAAAGGAGGAAAAGGAAGAAGAAGAGAAGGAGGGACAGAAGGAGGAGGGAAUGAUGAAGAAGGAAGAAAAAAAAGGAAGAAAAGGAGAAAGUAGACUUGGAGGAAAAGGAGGAUGAGAGAGGGGUGAUGAAGCAGGAGGAGGUGUUAAAGGAGGAGGAGAAAGAGGAAGAGGAAGAGAAGGAGGAUGAGGAAGAGGAGUUGUGUGUCUGACUUGGCAACACUAAAGGGGAAGCAAGGAGAAGGGGGGCAGAGGGGGUGGCAGCAAGGCGGUGACAAGGUAGACGUGCAGGUAAUUACGAAUACGUCAGGUGACUUAGGGUCCGCACACCUGUAAUCUUGGCCUAAUGGUGGAGAUGCCGCGCCUCAGACACAGGUGAGAAAGUCAGGUGUUUGGGGAGCUUUUUCAGGUUGUCUGUGUGUGUGUGUGUGUGUGUGUGUGUGUGUGUGUGUGUGUGUGUUAGAGAGAGAGAGAGAGAGAUUUUAGUAAAGUUAAUACGCUUUUGAAAACGUUUGUGUGUGUGUGUGUGUGUGUGUGUGUGUGUGUGUGUGUGUGUGUGUGUGUGUGUGUGUGUGUGUGUGUGUGUGUGUGUGUGUGUGUGUGUGUGUGUGUGUGUAUGUAUGU